Molecule: microRNA, 23 nt
Filed under: Oikopleura dioica
Lineage: Eukaryota; Metazoa; Chordata; Appendicularia; Copelata; Oikopleuridae
Description: odi-miR-1505
Source: miRBase by way of RNAcentral
AGUAGACUGACUCGGCGCCUCAU